UGGGGAAUAUUGCACAAUGGGCGCAAGCCUGAUGCAGCCAUGCCGCGUGUGUGAAGAAGGCCUUCGGGUUGUAAAGCACUUUCAGUCGUGAGGAAGGAGGUAGUGUUAAUAGCACUAUCAUUUGACGUUAGCGACAGAAGAAGCACCGGCUAACUCCGUG
Molecule: ribosomal RNA, 160 nt
Filed under: Vibrio parahaemolyticus
Lineage: Bacteria; Pseudomonadati; Pseudomonadota; Gammaproteobacteria; Vibrionales; Vibrionaceae
Description: partial 16S ribosomal RNA
Rfam family: Bacterial small subunit ribosomal RNA
Source: RNAcentral